UGAGUGCGAGCUGCUACGGCAGCGAAGUGGGUGACGUCAAGCUUCCAAGAAAAGCCCUAGACCCGUUAAGGCAUGAUUGCCUGUACCCGAAACCGACACAGGUGGGGUGGUAGAGAAUACCGAGGGGCGCGAGGUAACUCUCUCUAAGGAACUCGGCAAAAUGGCCCCGUAACUUCGGGAGAAGGGGUGCCAGCGAGAGCUGGUCGCAGUGAAGAGGCCCAGGCGACUGUUUACCAAAAACACAGGUCUCCGCUAAGUCGCAAGACGAUGUAUGGGGGCUGACGCCUGCCCAGUGCCGGAAGGUUAAGGAAGCUGGUCAGCGCAAGCGAAGCUGGCGACUGAAGCCCCGGUGAACGGCGGCCGUAACUAUAACGGUCCUAAGGUAGCGAAAUUCCUUGUCGGGUAAGUUCCGACCCGCACGAAAGGCGUAACGAUCUGGGCGCUGUCUCGGAGAGAGGCUCGGCGAAAUAGAAUUGUCUGUGAAGAUGCGGACUACGUGCACCCGGACAGAAAGACCCUAUGAAGCUUUACUGUAGCUUGGUAUUGUGCUCGGGCUCGGAAUGCGCAGGAUAGGUGGGAGGCAUUGAUCCAUUGCUUGCGGGUGAUGGUGAGCCACUGGUGAGAUACCACUCUUUUCGAGCUUAAGUUCUAACGGCCACCCGUUAUCCGGGGGCCGGACAGUAUCAGGUGGGCAGUUUGACUGGGGCGGUCGCCUCCUAAAAGGUAACGGAGGCGCGCAAAGGUCUGCUCAGGCUGGUUGGAAAUCAGCCGACGAGUGUAAAAGCAGAAGCAGGCUUGACUGUGAGACCUACAAGUCGAACAGGGAGGAAACUCGGCUUUAGUGAUCCGACGGUUCUGCGUGGAAGGGCCGUCGCUCAACGGAUAAAAGUUACUCUAGGAUAACAGGCUGAUCUCCCCCAAGAGUUCACAUCGACGGGGAGGUUUGGCACCUCGAUGUCGGCUCAUCGCAACCUGGGGCUGAAGUCGGUCCCAAGGGUUGGGCUGUUCGCCCAUUAAAGCGGUACGCGAGCUGGGUUCAGAACGUCGUGAGACAGUUCGGUCCAUAUCCGGUGCACGCGCAGGAAUAUUGAGAGGAUUUCUCCCUAGUACGAGAGGACCGGGAGGAACGCACCUCUGGUGUGCCAGUUAUCGUGCCAACGGUAAACGCUGGGUAGCCAUGUGCGGAGAGGAUAACCGCUGAAAGCAUCUAAGUGGGAAGCCCACCUCAAGAUGAGUAUUCCCAUGGCGUUAAGCCAGUAAGGUCACGGGAAGAACACCCGUUGAUAGGCUCUAUGUGGAAGCGCAGUAAUGCGUGAAGCAGAGGAGUACUAAUAGACCGAGGGCUUGACC
This 1350-nucleotide ribosomal RNA is filed under the name metagenome. RNAcentral describes it as "bacterial LSU rRNA". It matches the Rfam family "Bacterial large subunit ribosomal RNA", at positions 1564 to 2925 of the family's 2925-position model. The record is from RNAcentral.